Molecule: long non-coding RNA, 917 nt
Organism: Juglans microcarpa x Juglans regia
Lineage: Eukaryota; Viridiplantae; Streptophyta; Magnoliopsida; Fagales; Juglandaceae
Exons: 2
Source: RefSeq, a predicted model, not a curated record
GUUAAAGAACGUAGCUUUCAUCCAUAUAAAGUCGAAAAUUUUCGACAAUUUCCUUAAUCCUCAGGGCGCUUCUUGUUCCAUUGAGGUGCGGCAUCCUCAUCUUCAACCUCAUCGUCUUGGUGACUGUGCUUAUUGUCUAGGCCAUUCUCCAGCCAAGCAAGCCCAGGUUUGUACUCCAGGACGCUACCGUCUAUCUGUCUCAUCGAAAUUUAUGAAAAAAUAGAUCACAGCGGCGGAUCUGGGCGGGGGAGCACGACGUUGCAUCGCUUUCAAGUGGCUGAGCUGGACUACCCUAGGCGUCUUCCCUCUUCCCCUCUCUUUAUCCAGAGUUGUAACUUUUUUAUGAAAAAAUAGAUCUUUUUUCAUGUUGUUGAAGAUGAUCCGAGAUCUGAUUUUGGAUUCUUUGUUUUUUAUUUGCAUGUUGAGGGAGGCGAUCGAGGAGAGAGGGAUUGGGCGAGGGGUUGUCAGACGACUUCGGUGCUCCAUGGCUAAUCACAGUGGCAGAUCUGGGCUGGGGAGCACGACGCUGCAUCACUUUUAGGUGGCUGGGCAGUGAUUUGACUCACGGAGGAGCUACGGAUAGGCAUUGCACCUCGUGGACGAGUGGCCCUCGAUCAGUGGCAACCGCAAAGCUUGGAGGUUGGGUUCGAUGCCAUGGAGAACCACAGAGAGAGACAACCACGGUUGAAGAGAGAGAAUCAGAGACGAUUUGCUUUUUGAAUUAUCGGCACUAUAUAUAGCCUUAAUUGAUCAGAGAAUUCAUGAUUUCAUCUUGCAUCUCCAUUAAAAUCAAGAAAUAGUGCCCGCUUUAAUUAUGCUAGCUAGCUUUAAUAUUUAAGAAACUAUAUUUGCUGUCGUUUCUUUUCUUAAUUGAUCCUCUUUAAUAUCAUUCAGUUCUUAUUAUUUUUUUUUCCUAA